Molecule: long non-coding RNA, 5676 nt
Organism: Rosa rugosa (rugosa rose)
Lineage: Eukaryota; Viridiplantae; Streptophyta; Magnoliopsida; Rosales; Rosaceae
Exons: 3
Source: RefSeq, a predicted model, not a curated record
CUGUCUUUUACUGUCUUUUUGUUCUUAACUUCUUUGUCUUUCCAAAAAACCAAACACUCUUCAAACAGAGUUUUCCAAGACAUUAAUGAUAAGGACCAAACCAAAGCAAAGAAAGAUUCCGAGUAUAGGCCUAGAGAGUACUGCUAUGAAGAGACUGGAGUCUCCUCCAUCUCUUAUAGGAUCUCACAAAUGGUACUUUCCUUAUUUGGGCUUUCUAUCUGGUGUUCUGGCCUCGCCAUUGAAGAUUUAUUCAUCGAUCAAAAGCUUUUCUUCUUUCUUUGGCUACGUGUCGCCGACACCACACCUGUACGUCUCUCCUUCGGCAUUUGUAUCUGCCUCUGCAUCUGCAUGACUGACACACAUACAUGAGAGAGAGAGAGAGAGAGAGAGGUAGAGAAAGAGAGAAUUGUAACCACACAGGAGAUAAGAUCAGUAGUCAUGAGAGGGAAUGAAGAGAGAGAAAGAGAAAGGUUUUCUCCUUCUGUUUUUGGUCAUUGAGGUCUGUGGAGGGUGUUGGCCUGAACAAACCCUAAAUCGAGGUCGACGUCUCGCCGUUCAUUUUUACAACAAAAGAAGCACGGAUCUUAGGUUUUUCUGACUUUUUGUACCUUUACAAAAAUGGGUUUUCCCUCUACUCUUCUCAGAUCUGACUCCUCCUCCUCCUCCUCCUCCUCCUCCGUCACUAGUUAUCUUCUUCGAGUGUUGAAUUGCUCCCUUCCCCUUUCGUUCUCUCUCUCUCUCUCUUUUUUUCCUUUUCUUUUUUCUUUCCAAAAUUGGGCUGUGUACCUCUCCUUUUCUGUCCCUCUGUAGACCGCUGUCAUCAUUCAUUGUUCCUUCACCAGAAGACUAUGAAAGCCGAGUUGUUGUUAGAUUUAUCUAAAAAUGUAAAAAAAAAUAUAAGAAAAAUGGUUGGGUUGGGUCGGUGAAGAUAGAAAUUGACAGAAGAGAGUGAGCACACAGAGGCAGAUGGCAUAAAGUGUGUUAUUGCUUUUGCGUGCUCAUUUCUCUUUCUGUCACCUGCUCACUCUCCCUUCCCUGCCGAAAUUCAAUUCAAUUCACCCUUAUCUAUCUACCAAUAGAUCCAUCCAAUAUCUGAUUCUGGCCUGGACUGUGUAUGCUCGCUGCUACUCUUCUCGAUCUCUCUCUCUCUCUCUCUCUCUCUCUCUCUCUCUCUCAAAAUGGAACAUUGCAUACGCCUUUGAAAUCGGUAAGUGAUUUUUUAUUUAUUUUGCUGCAUCGCAUAGACUAUCAUAUCGAUCUGAGCUUGCAGAAACUGAUUAGCUUGGAAGCGUGAUUUUUGAUGGUCUUUUAGUUCUACCAAGCGCCAACGUACAUACGAGAGACUAGAGUGAUUACUGUGCCAAACUAGCUGGUAAUCAACCUUCUGAUUAAUAUUAUAUAGCAUAUUAGCAUGGGACCAUUCCCCAUUCCCUUCACUCACGUAGCAACUACCUAGCUAGUAUGGUCCUGAUCACCUUAUUUCUCUUUGUUGUUUGUCUUCUCCAUCUUCCUUAAUUAACUGUGCAGCGUCUUGCUAUCAUCGCCAUGGCUGUCUCUUUUCUUUGUUAUUCUAUUAUCUCUUCCCUUUUUUCAAGUACUCAUGUGCAUGUGAUGUUCACUCGAUAAUGGGUUCUGCGGGCUUCUUCCUAUUGUGUUUUCUUUUCACCUGAAUCUAGCCGCAAUCUACGGAUUGUACACCUACCCAGUUCGUUCCUGUAGACAUAUUCUUCUUCUUCUUUGUCUGGGGGUUUUCAGAACGACGAUAUGUUAUUUUGCCCAUAAUUGGGUUGCUUGUAGUACUCAUCAGUACAAGGCUUUUUCCAUUCUAAUGAUUAAUAGUUGUUCUAUGUGGUUUUUAUCUUGCAAAUAUCUGGUUUAUCGUACACAUUACUGUAGAUUCCAGUUUGUGAAACAGAAAAAUUUAGUUGUUGUACUCUUUCUCUAAAAAAUUUCAUACAUAAUUAUAUACACAUAUAUCUAUCAGUUGUUAUAGCUAGUGUAUAUGUGAUGAUUUUACAGAUAUAAUUAUCUGGUAAUUUGGUUAUUCAACUCUUGUUAAUUGUUUAGUGCUUAGUUUGCAGGUAUUAGGCAUAUUGGUCCCUUACCAUUAUCAUGUCACAUUAUUUUUUGGGUUCGAUCAGUUGUGUUUUCAUUUCAUAUAAGUAGUUCUAUUAGUACUGAUUCCAUUUGUAUCACUAUUUUAUAUGAUGCACUGCUCUUGCUUUCUGGAUUUUAUUAAGGUUAAAAAUACAUCUCUUAGUCAGUGAUUACUAUCUCUGAACCAAAUAUUUUUGGAUGGCUCAAAGUAACCAAGAGCACAAUUUGCUUCUUGUGUAGAUGGUUUCAAAAUGAAGAGAUGUGUCUAGCAAAACCAAUAUAUAAUGAUUGGGUAAAUAUAUAAGACUGGUCAUUGUUUUCACUUUUUCUUAAUGUUUCUUGCUGAUUGACUCAUAUAUGCCAUCAUAAGUGCUUAACAACAAAAGGUUCGUGGGGGCAUGUGUGAGUAACAGAUCAAAUGGAUGUGGCUGGUGUGGUAUAUAGCAUGUGUAGCCAACUACUACUGAAAUAUAUAUUUGCUGUUAAAGCCAAAACUCAAUCUGUUUGUCUGUAAAUAUAAGCAAGAUCCAAGUACAAAGCAGAUGCAAUGCAUCAGUAUGAUCAUAUGCACAUGAAAGUCAAAUUUGGUCUUCCUUUCAGUUAUGUUCAUGCAUAUUUACUACAAUUAAUUAAUUUAUCGACUCAUAUAUGCCGUCAUAUAUACGUUCUUAACAACAAAAGGUUCGUGAGGGCAUGUGUGAGUAACAGAUCAAAUGGAUGUGGCUGGUGUGGUAUAUAGCAUGUGUAGCCAACUACUACUGAAAUAUAUAUUUGCUGUUAAAACCAAAACUCAAUCUGUUUGUCUGUAAAUAUAAGCAAGGUCUAAGCAAAAAGCAGAUGCAAUGCAUCAGUAUGAUCACACGCACAUGAAAGUCAAAUUUGGUCCUCUGAGUUAAAUUCAUGCAUAUUUACUACAAUUAAUUAAUUUGUUAAAAAGCAAAUAAAUUUGACUUUCAUGUGCAUAUGAUCAUACUGUUUGCUAGCUAGGCAUCUGCUGGAUGAAUUAGAGAGGGUUUCUAUUUGUUCUUAGCAUUUGAUUUUCUUAAUUUAUUGAAACAAGCUAUUAAGUGCAUAUUUUCUUUUUUAUUUUGUUAUCUUCUUUGGAAAAUAGAUUUUAUAAGUGUUUAUUUCACUUGAGGAACUAGUAAAAAACUAAAUCGAACUUUUUUUUUCUAAAGGGAACUAAAUCAAACUUUUACAAGAACUAAUUGCAAUUUAAAACAUGUUUUGUUAGAAGACAUCAACGUUAGCUGUUAGGGAAAAUUGUUGUUAUUAGAAAGGCUGAUGGAGAAGUGAGGUCAACGAUCGAUGUAUAUCAAGCUCUUGUCAGCUUAUUUACUCAAAGAGAAAAGAUAAUUAGUAGAUUACAAUCUUACAGAUUACAAGCUCCCAGUCACCGUUGUUUGUGCCGUCAAUUCAUUCUCUUUAAGGAAUUCUUUAUGACAAUUCUUGAGAUAACAAUUUGCAUAUUUAAAGCAUCUAUAUAUGUUUGGAUUUUCAUGUCAGUUAUUGAUAAUAAGUUUAACUGUUUAACAAUAAAUCACAUGAUUUUCAUAGGAUGUAGAUGUCAUAAGCCAUUGUAAGAACACAUUUUUAUAAGAUAUAAUGUAUUGACUGAUCUUUAAAAUAAUUUUACAUCAUUUUGUUUUUUUGGUAGUAAGUGCAUUUUGAAUGAGUAACUGAACUUUUGAGGGUACUGUUUGCAUUCUAGCUAGAUGAUAACCUGAAGAAUUAAUCAGAUUUGGUUGAUUUGGCAUCUAGCUAAGUCGGUUCAAUGAUGUACGUCAUGUUCUGAAUUAGACUUGGAAAAGAAAUGGGAGAAAUUGUGUAUUUACAGUCUGAUACUCUAAUCAUUGGGAGAUGUAGGUCAGAUUUGGUUGAUUUGGCACACUUUAAUGAUGUAGGUCAUGUUCUGAAUUAGACUUGGAAGAGAAAUUGGAGAAAAUGUGUACGUACGUACAGUCUAAUACUACAAUCUAAUUAAUUUGGUCCUUUUUGAAAUAGUUAUUACAGGGUGAAUUCUUUUGGGGGUUCAAUUGUCCAUGGGGAGUUGACUAAAGAAGCAAUAAACUUGGGUAGAUUUAAAUAACCGCACAGCAGUUGUAGCUGAGCCGUUCUUUUUUAUGAUAAUGUUUGGAUCUUUAUUUAUUUGCCGUUUUCAGUUACUGAAGGUAGACUAUGAUUUGGAUGGUGGAUGCUGUGUGCACGCUCAAAUAUACAUAUCACUUGCAGACUAGCUAUGAACAUCAAUUCAUUUGUAGGUGUCUGCUUUAUAAUCAUAGAAACUGAGGACCUUGCUUUAUUCUUUCUUUACUUUGCCCAUGUCCGGCUGGAUUUGAUUAUCGUAAGAACUGAUCAGUGUGGAUUAGUCUAUCAGUUCAUGUAGAUUUGUUUAGUUGUGAUCAAGUCUUAAUUUGGCACUGGGAUUUAUGGAUAGGUUAUGAAAUACUUGUGAAAUGGAAUGGAUUUUUUUGAUUAAUUACUUCAACUAAAGUACUUUAUGUAUUGUGAUCUUAUGAAUUGUGUACAUACUUAUGAGUGGAAUUGCAGUUUGUAAUAGUAAUUACACUGAAGCAGUCUACACUGAAGUAAUUAAAUGUUUUCAUUUGUUGAAUUUGUUCAAUGCUUGUCAAAGAAAUUAUGGAUUGACUAGACUUGAGUUUGAUCAGUAAUUUUUUUUUUUUGGGUUCUUUAUUCUUUUCCAAAGUAAUGUAUUCCUACAACCAUAAAAGCAAAGAACUUGUAGUGGCAGACUGGCAGCCAUAGGCUGUUAAUCUUAUUGUUAAUACUAUUAAUUUUUUUUUUUUUUUUUUGGGUUUUGCAAAUACAUAUUAUCAUUGCCUCAUUGGAAUUUCCUAUAUGAAUAUAUUAAAUUAGCUCUUGUCAUGUAUUUCGUUUGCCGUGAAGUAUACUAGUCUGGCAAUAGAUGAUCAUAUUAAUGAUUAAAAUCCAAAAUAAGUUGUCUAUGAGGCCAAUUUCUGCAGUUUCAUACAUAUUGCAUGUGAAUUUGGUUGAGGAAUUCUUAAGAUAUAUUAUACAAUGUUUGCAUGGAUCAUUUGUAUGUAUUUUCUCAGUUUGGUGGGCACAAAGAACCUGGAAAGUGGUAAAUCGUUGCUUUUAUUUCUGUUUUAGUUUUGUUUGAGAGAAUUAAGUGCAAGUUAAUUGUGAAAAUAAUCACAAGUUAAGCUUUUUGAAAGUACUGAACAGAGGCAAAGUAUGCGUGGCCAAAGCCAUUAGUGCUUCUUCUGGCAAAUAAUUCAAGAGAUAUUUAGUUGUUUAUUCACUCAUGGAUGGAGUCCAUGGACUGAAAGUACACGAACAUUGAGAGAGCAAUGAUUUUCUGUCAAAGAAGAAGCAAUGUUUCUCAGGCUGAAAGGCUGAAUAUUAUUGGCUCGUUCGCUAUUAACAGGAAUUGGAAAACACAAUGCAUGGUGAGGGAGAGCAUGUGCCUGAAGCUAGUAGUAUUUGAAGUGUCAAGAACCUAGUCAUCCGUCUUUGAUUGCUUGUUCGCUAUUUUGUUCUUUUUUCUUGUAUGAAAAUAGGGGACAAGAAAGCUUUUGUUGGGAACAUGAUUGUGAA